This is a non-coding RNA of Lentinula raphanica, 97 nucleotides long. The record is from the annotation of a GenBank genome assembly. NCBI's taxonomy places the organism in Eukaryota, Fungi, Basidiomycota, Agaricomycetes, Agaricales, Omphalotaceae.
GUCCACUUAGCUCAAUGGUUAGAGUGCUUGAAGUAUGUUCACGUUUCAAGGAUUUUCCGUCACUCAAGCGAUGCGAGUUCGAAUCUCGCAGUGGACG